RNAcentral lists this ribosomal RNA (501 nucleotides) under uncultured bacterium. RNAcentral's name for it is "partial 16S ribosomal RNA". It matches the Rfam family "Bacterial small subunit ribosomal RNA", at positions 29 to 523 of the family's 1533-position model. The record is from RNAcentral.
AUUGAACGCUGGCGGCAUGCCUUACACAUGCAAGUCGAACGGCAGCACGGGUGCUUGCACCUGGUGGCGAGUGGCGAACGGGUGAGUAAUACAUCGGAACGUACCUUAUCGUGGGGGAUAACGCAGCGAAAGCUGUGCUAAUACCGCAUACGCCCUGAGGGGGAAAGCGGGGGAUCGAAAGACCUCGCGCGAUUAGAGCGGCCGAUGCCUGAUUAGCUUGUUGGUGGGGUAAAAGCCCACCAAGGCGACGAUCAGUAGCUGGUCUGGGAGGACGAUCAGCCACGCUGGGACUGAGACACGGCCCAGACUCCUACGGGGGGAAGCAGUGGGGAAUUUUGGACAAUGGGGGCAACCCUGAUCCAGCAAUGCCGCGUGAGUGAAGAAGGCCUUCGGGUUGUAAAGCUCUUUUGUCAGGGAAGAAACACCGGCUCUAACACAGUCCGGGAAUGACGGUACCUGAAGAAUAAGCACCGGCUAACUACGUGCCAGCAGCCGCCGUAA